GGUUAAGCGACUAAGCGUACACGGUGGAUGCCCUGGCAGUCAGAGGCGAUGAAGGACGUGCUAAUCUGCGAUAAGCGUCGGUAAGGUGAUAUGAACCGUUAUAACCGGCGAUUUCCGAAUGGGGAAACCCAGUGUGUUUCGACACACUAUCAUUAACUGAAUCCAUAGGUUAAUGAGGCGAACCGGGGGAACUGAAACAUCUAAGUACCCCGAGGAAAAGAAAUCAACCGAGAUUCCCCCAGUAGCGGCGAGCGAACGGGGAGCAGCCCAGAGCCUGAAUCAGUGUGUGUGUUAGUGGAAGCGUCUGGAAAGGCGCGCGAUACAGGGUGACAGCCCCGUACACAAAAAUGCACAUAUUGUGAGCUCGAUGAGUAGGGCGGGACACGUGGUAUCCUGUCUGAAUAUGGGGGACCAUCCUCCAAGGCUAAAUACUCCUGACUGACCGAUAGUGAACCAGUACCGUGAGGGAAAGGCGAAAAGAACCCCGGCGAGGGGAGUGAAAAAGAACCUGAAACCGUGUACGUACAAGCAGUGGGAGCCUCUUUUAUGGGGUGACUGCGUACCUUUUGUAUAAUGGGUCAGCGACUUAUAUUCUGUAGCAAGGUUAACCGAAUAGGGAGCCGAAGGGUGACUGCGUACCUUUUGUAUAAUGGGUCAGCGACUUAUAUUCUGUAGCAAGGUUAACCGAAUAGGGGAGCCGAAGGGAAACCGAGUCUUAACUGGGCGUUAAGUUGCAGGGUAUAGACCCGAAACCCGGUGAUCUAGCCAUGGGCAGGUUGAAGGUUGGGUAACACUAACUGGAGGACCGAACCGACUAAUGUUGAAAAAUUAGCGGAUGACUUGUGGCUGGGGGUGAAAGGCCAAUCAAACCGGGAGAUAGCUGGUUCUCCCCGAAAGCUAUUUAGGUAGCGCCUCGUGAAUUCAUCUCCGGGGGUAGAGCACUGUUUCGGCAAGGGGGUCAUCCCGACUUACCAACCCGAUGCAAACUGCGAAUACCGGAGAAUGUUAUCACGGGAGACACACGGCGGGUGCUAACGUCCGUCGUGAAGAGGGAAACAACCCAGACCGCCAGCUAAGGUCCCAAAGUCAUGGUUAAGUGGGAAACGAUGUGGGAAGGCCCAGACAGCCAGGAUGUUGGCUUAGAAGCAGCCAUCAUUUAAAGAAAGCGUAAUAGCUCACUGGUCGAGUCGGCCUGCGCGGAAGAUGUAACGGGGCUAAACCAUGCACCGAAGCUGCGGCAGCGACGCUUAUGCGUUGUUGGGUAGGGGAGCGUUCUGUAAGCCUGCGAAGGUGUGCUGUGAGGCAUGCUGGAGGUAUCAGAAGUGCGAAUGCUGACAUAAGUAACGAUAAAGCGGGUGAAAAGCCCGCUCGCCGGAAGACCAAGGGUUCCUGUCCAACGUUAAUCGGGGCAGGGUGAGUCGACCCCUAAGGCGAGGCCGAAAGGCGUAGUCGAUGGGAAACAGGUUAAUAUUCCUGUACUUGGUGUUACUGCGAAGGGGGACGGAGAAGGCUACGAAAGGCGUAGUCGAUGGGAAACAGGUUAAUAUUCCUGUACUUGGUGUUACUGCGAAGGGGGGACGGAGAAGGCUAUGUUGGCCGGGCGACGGUUGUCCCGGUUUAAGCGUGUAGGCUGGUUUUCCAGGCAAAUCCGGAAAACUAAGGCUGAGGCGUGAUGACGAGGCACUACGGUGCUGAAGCAACAAAUGCCCUGCUUCCAGGAAAAGCCUCUAAGCAUCAGGUAACAUCAAAUCGUACCCCAAACCGACACAGGUGGUCAGGUAGAGAAUACCAAGGCGCUUGAGAGAACUCGGGUGAAGGAACUAGGCAAAAUGGUGCCGUAACUUCGGGAGAAGGCACGCUGAUAUGUAGGUGAAGUCCCUCGCGGAUGGAGCUGAAAUCAGUCGAAGAUACCAGCUGGCUGCAACUGUUUAUUAAAAACACAGCACUGUGCAAACACGAAAGUGGACGUAUACGGUGUGACGCCUGCCCGGUGCCGGAAGGUUAAUUGAUGGGGUUAGCGGUAACGCGAAGCUCUUGAUCGAAGCCCCGGUAAACGGCGGCCGUAACUAUAACGGUCCUAAGGUAGCGAAAUUCCUUGUCGGGUAAGUUCCGACCUGCACGAAUGGCGUAAUGAUGGCCAGGCUGUCUCCACCCGAGACUCAGUGAAAUUGAACUCGCUGUGAAGAUGCAGUGUACCCGCGGCAAGACGGAAAGACCCCGUGAACCUUUACUAUAGCUUGACACUGAACAUUGAGCCUUGAUGUGUAGGAUAGGUGGGAGGCUUAGAAGUGUGGACGCCAGUCUGCAUGGAGCCGACCUUGAAAUACCACCCUUUAAUGUUUGAUGUUCUAACGUUGACCCGUAAUCCGGGUUGCGGACAGUGUCUGGUGGGUAGUUUGACUGGGGCGGUCUCCUCCUAAAGAGUAACGGAGGAGCACGAAGGUUGGCUAAUCCUGGUCGGACAUCAGGAGGUUAGUGCAAUGGCAUAAGCCAGCUUGACUGCGAGCGUGACGGCGCGAGCAGGUGCGAAAGCAGGUCAUAGUGAUCCGGUGGUUCUGAAUGGAAGGGCCAUCGCUCAACGGAUAAAAGGUACUCCGGGGAUAACAGGCUGAUACCGCCCAAGAGUUCAUAUCGACGGCGGUGUUUGGCACCUCGAUGUCGGCUCAUCACAUCCUGGGGCUGAAGUAGGUCCCAAGGGUAUGGCUGUUCGCCAUUUAAAGUGGUACGCGAGCUGGGUUUAGAACGUCGUGAGACAGUUCGGUCCCUAUCUGCCGUGGGCGCUGGAGAACUGAGGGGGGCUGCUCCUAGUACGAGAGGACCGGAGUGGACGCAUCACUGGUGUUCGGGUUGUCAUGCCAAUGGCACUGCCCGGUAGCUAAAUGCGGAAGAGAUAAGUGCUGAAAGCAUCUAAGCACGAAACUUGCCCCGAGAUGAGUUCUCCCUGACUCCUUGAGAGUCCUGAAGGAACGUUGAAGACGACGACGUUGAUAGGCCGGGUGUGUAAGCGCAGCGAUGCGUUGAGCUAACCGGUACUAAUGAACCGUGAGGCUUAACCUU
Molecule: ribosomal RNA, 3057 nt
Filed under: Escherichia coli
Lineage: Bacteria; Pseudomonadati; Pseudomonadota; Gammaproteobacteria; Enterobacterales; Enterobacteriaceae
Description: 23S ribosomal RNA
Rfam family: Bacterial large subunit ribosomal RNA
Source: RNAcentral